RNAcentral lists this small RNA (422 nucleotides) under Malus domestica (apple). RNAcentral describes it as "sRNA MD01G0024100". The record is from RNAcentral. Lineage: Eukaryota; Viridiplantae; Streptophyta; Magnoliopsida; Rosales; Rosaceae.
AUGGUGUUGAUUAGUAUUGGACUCGGAAUAUGGAUUAAAAACAUAUUGAUUGCAGGGAAGUGGAUUAAAAAAUUGUUAACUAUUACAUAUUUGAAAAAUGGUUUCAUAUUGGAGAUUCUCUGAAACUUCAUUUUCGAUUUAGCAAGCAUUAAGAACUUGUUUUUGCUCUUUUCUUUCUCUCUGAAACUUCUAAUGACUAACUGAUUAGAUCCUCAAGCAUUUGCAUAACAUUAUCUGUGCUUUUGGAUCAGAUCUGAGUGUACUGCACCCGCUGUAAUAACAACUCAAGUGUAUUCGGUCCUUGGUUUGAAUUGAGGUUUUUUAAGGAUGGACGGGUCUAGUAGCCAAUCUAGUACACCUAAGGUCUCGGUAUUAGGAAAAAGAAAACAAACCCAACCUAGUGGUACCCUUCAACUAGGCAC